This 546-nucleotide ribosomal RNA is filed under the name uncultured archaeon. RNAcentral describes it as "bacterial SSU rRNA". It matches the Rfam family "Archaeal small subunit ribosomal RNA", at positions 333 to 879 of the family's 1478-position model. The record is from RNAcentral.
CACCAGGCGCGAAAACUUUACCAUUUGGGAAACCGUGAUAAGGGGACACCGAGUGCCAGCAUCAUAUGCUGGCUGCCCAGGUGUGUAAACUACACCUGUUAGCAAGGGCCGGGCAAGACCGGUGCCAGCCGCCGCGGUAACACCGGCGGCCCGAGUGGUGAUCGUGAUUAUUGGGUCUAAAGGGUCCGUAGCCGGUUUGGUCAGUCCUCCGGGAAAUCUGACGGCUCAACCGUUAGGCUUUCGGGGGAUACUGCCAGGCUUGGAACCGGGAGAGGUAAGAGGUACUACAGGGGUAGGAGUGAAAUCUUGUAAUCCCUGUGGGACCACCUGUGGCGAAGGCGUCUUACCAGAACGGGUUCGACGGUGAGGGACGAAAGCUGGGGGCACGAACCGGAUUAGAUACCCGGGUAGUCCCAGCCGUAAACGAUGCUCGCUAGGUGUCAGGCAUGGCGCGACCGUGUCUGGUGCCGCAGGGAAGCCGUGAAGCGAGCCACCUGGGAAGUACGGCCGCAAGGCUGAAACUUAAAGGAAUUGGCGGGGGAGCAC